GGGCGUGAUGAUGGGGGCCUUACGGCCCGAAUCCGGUGAUCCGUGGUGCCGAGAAAAGCUUCGGCGUCAGGCGCGUUGCCGCCCGUACCCCAAACCGACACUGGUGGUCAGGUAGAGAAUACCAAAGCGAUCGAGCGAAUCCUGGUCAAGGAACUCGGCAAAUUGCUCCCGUGCCUUCGGCAUAAGGGAGACCCCCUGCGGUGAUGAGCGGCGGGGGGUGGCACAGGCCAGGGGGUAGCGACUGUUUACCAAAAACACAGGAGCGUGCGAAGGCGCAAGCCGCUGUAUACGCUCUGACGCCUGCCCGGUGCCGGAAGGUUAAGAGGAUCCGUCAGCUUUCUGCGAAGCGGUGAAUUCAAGCCCCGGUAAACGGCGGUGGUAACUAUAACCAUCCUAAGGUAGCGAAAUUCCUUGUCGGGUAAGUUCCGACCUGCACGAAUGGCGUAACGACUUCCCCACUGUCUCGACCAGGAGCUCGGCGAAAUUGCAGUACGAGUAAAGAUGCUCGUUAAGCGCAGAAGGACGAAAAGACCCCGGGACCUUUACUAUACCUUGGUAUUGGCAUUAGGCGCGGAUUGUGUAGCAUAGGCGGGAGGCUUCGAGGCGGGUGCGCCAGCAUCCGCGGAGCCGCAAGGUGAAAUACCGCUCUGUUCUCGUUUGAUGUCUAACCUCGAACAGUCAUCCUGUUCAGGGACAGUGCCUGGCGGGUAGUUCAACUGGGGCGGUUGCCUCCCAAAGAGUAACGGAGGCGCUCAAAGGUCCGCUCGGCCCGGUUGGCAAUCGGGUGUCGAGUGUAAUCGCACAAGCGGGCUUGACUGCGAGAUCGACGGAUCGAGCAGGGACGAAAGUCGGAGAUAGUGAUCCGGUGCCGGCGCACGGGCGCGGCAUCGCUCAACGGAUAAAAGGUACCCCGGGGAUAACAGGCUGAUCAUUCCCAAGAGUCCAUAUCGACGGGAUGGUUUGGCACCUCGAUGUCGGCUCGUCGCAUCCUGGGGCUGGAGCAGGUCCCAAGGGUUCGGCUGUUCGCCGAUCAAAGCGGCACGCGAGCUGGGUUCAGAACGUCGUGAGACAGUUUGGUCUCCAUCCUCUGCGCUCGUUGGAAUCUUGAGGAGGCCUGCCCAUAGUACGAGAGGACCUGGGUGGACGAACCUCUGGUAUGCCGGUCGUCACGCCAGUGGCGCGGCCGGUUGGCUACGUUCGGAAGGGAUAACCGCUGAAAGCAUCUAAGCGGGAAGCCUUCUCCAAGAUAAGGAUUCCAUGCGGCCCGAGCCGCUGAAGACCCCAUGCAGAACACGUGGUCGAUAGGCCGGACGUGGAAGCCCCGCGAGGGGUGGAGCCGACCGGUACUAAUGGUCGAGAGC
This 1361-nucleotide ribosomal RNA is filed under the name metagenome. RNAcentral's name for it is "bacterial LSU rRNA". It matches the Rfam family "Bacterial large subunit ribosomal RNA", at positions 1559 to 2915 of the family's 2925-position model. The record is from RNAcentral.